GGCUGCAGGUGGUAUUGCUCCAUAUGCCUGAGACCCUAACAAAAGCCUAAUUACAACUCAUAUGCCUGGAGCCAGGACAUGUGCAGGAUGCCAUGAUGGUCCAAGUUAUAUUGGGAUUCAGCCAAUAGAAGAUAUUUUGCCUGUCAUCCCUAAGCUUAGGACAAUAGGGUCCUGCCCACAAGAAAGAUUGUGACAUCUCACUGGACAAGCACCCACCCAGACUCUGCCAAGAGAGGGGAUUAUUACAUAUUGCAGAGCCCAGCACCUAGGUGGAGUGACUCUCAUCUUUUUCUUCUACCCCGUAUAUAGCCAGCUUGGUGACCUACUAUUUGAGUCUAUACCCAGGCCCAGACCACAGAUGAAAUUGUGCAAUAUGUGGAACAAACACCUAAACAAUAUAUAACACCUUCCUUGGCUCUGUCUACAAAGGGCACUUUUAUAUAUCACUGGGACCAUCAACCAGGUGAUGUUGUGCCAUAUAACUGAGACCGUAUCAAAAGCCUAAUAACAAGACGUAUGUCUGGAGCCCCGAUAUGCACAGGAUGGUGAUAUAACCCUCUUCUCUGGAAUGGGCCCCACACAAAGGAAGGAUAGUGACAUAUUGCAAGCCCAGGCACACAGGCCCAGAGCACAGUUGAAAUUGUGACAUAUGUACACCAAGCAACCAAGCAAUGUAUAACACCUCAUUUGGCAAUGGAAUCGAGGGCACUUUUACAUAUCACUGAGACCAGCGCCCAGCUGAUGUGAAAUAUUGGCCUGAACCCUGCCUACAAAAGCAUUGUGGCUUUUAUCUAGCUCCAUUACAUAAGUGAUGUGACUUCCUUCUACUGCCUUGGCCCUGCACUUAUGGUGAAUCGUGACACAAAAUUGGGUAGAGCAA
This 880-nucleotide long non-coding RNA is filed under the name Homo sapiens (human). RNAcentral's name for it is "long intergenic non-protein coding RNA 293". The record is from RNAcentral. Lineage: Eukaryota; Metazoa; Chordata; Mammalia; Primates; Hominidae.